Molecule: ribosomal RNA, 448 nt
Filed under: uncultured bacterium
Lineage: Bacteria
Description: bacterial SSU rRNA
Rfam family: Bacterial small subunit ribosomal RNA
Source: RNAcentral
GUCGAGAAUUUUUCUCAAUGGGGGCAACCCUGAAGGAGCGACGCCGCGUGGAGGAUGAAGGUCUUCGGAUUGUAAACUCCUGUCAUUAGGGAACAAACCUCCCGGUUAACUGCCGGAGAGCUGAUAGUACCUGAAGAGGAAGGGACGGCUAACUCUGUGCCAGCAGCCGCGGUAAUACAGAGGUCCCAACCGUUGUUCGGAUUCAUUGGGCGUAAAGGGUGCGUAGGCGGCGGAGUAAGUCAGGUGUGAAAUCUCGGGGCUCAACCCCGAAACUGCACUUGAUACUGCUUCGCUAGAGUACUGGAGAGGAGACUGGAAUUUACGGUGUAGCAGUGAAAUGCGUAGAUAUCGUAAGGAAGACCAGUGGCGAAGGCGAGUCUCUGGACAGUUACUGACGCUGAGGCACGAAGGCCAGGGGAGCAAACGGGAUUAGAUACCCGGGUAGUCC